CAGGCCUAACACAUGCAAGUCGAGCGCGCCUUCGGGUGAGCGGCGGACGGGUUAGUAACGCGUGGGAACGUGCCCUUCUCUACGGAAUAGCCUCUGGAAACGGAGAGUAAUACCGUAUACGCCCUUUGGGGGAAAGAUUUAUCGGAGAAGGAUCGGCCCGCGUUAGAUUAGGUAGUUGGUGGGGUAACGGCCUACCAAGCCUACGAUCUAUAGCUGGUUUUAGAGGAUGAUCAGCAACACUGGGACUGAGACACGGCCCAGACUCCUACGGGAGGCAGCAGUGGGGAAUCUUAGACAAUGGGGGCAACCCUGAUCUAGCCAUGCCGCGUGAGUGAUGAAGGCCUUAGGGUCGUAAAGCUCUUUCGCCUGUGAUGAUAAUGACAGUAGCAGGUAAAGAAACCCCGGCUAACUCCGUGCCAGCAGCCGCGGUAAUACGGAGGGGGUUAGCGUUGUUCGGAAUUACUGGGCGUAAAGCGCGCGUAGGCGGAUUAGAAAGUUGGGGGUGAAGUCCCGGGGCUCAACCCCGGAACUGCCUCCAAAACUGCUAGUCUAGAGUUCGAGAGAGGUGAGUGGAAUUCCGAGUGUAGAGGUGAAAUUCGUAGAUAUUCGGAGGAACACCAGUGGCGAAGGCGGCUCACUGGCUCGAUACUGACGCUGAGGUGCGAAAGUGUGGGGAGCAAACAGGAUUAGAUACCCUGGUAGUCCACACCGUAAACGAUGAAUGCCAGUCGUCGGAUAGUAUACUAUUCGGUGACACACCUAACGGAUUAAGCAUUUCCGCCUGGGGAGUACGGUCGCAAGAUUAAAACUCAAAGGAAUUGACGGGGCC
RNAcentral lists this ribosomal RNA (829 nucleotides) under uncultured marine bacterium. RNAcentral describes it as "bacterial SSU rRNA". It matches the Rfam family "Bacterial small subunit ribosomal RNA", at positions 43 to 920 of the family's 1533-position model. The record is from RNAcentral.